GAUGAACGCUGGCGGCGUGCCUAAUACAUGCAAGUCGAGCGAACGGACGAGAAGCUUGCUUUUCUGAUGUUAGCGGCGGACGGGUGAGUAACACGUGGAUAACCUACCUAUAAGACUGGGAUAACUUCGGGAAACCGGAGCUAAUACCGGAUAAUAUUUUGAACCGCAUGGUUCAAAAGUGAAAGACGGUCUUGCUGUCACUUAUAGAUGGAUCCGCGCUGCAUUAGCUAGUUGGUAAGGUAACGGCUUACCAAGGCAACGAUGCAUAGCCGACCUGAGAGGGUGAUCGGCCACACUGGAGCUGAGACACGGUCCAGGGGCCUACGGGAGGCAGCAGAAGGGAAUCUGCCGCAGUGGGCGAGAGCCUGACGGAGCAACGCCGCGUGAGUGAUGAAGGUCUUCGGAUCGUAAAGCUCGGUUAUGAGUGAAGAACAUAUGUGUAAGUAACUGUGCACAUCUUGACGGUACCUGAUCAGGAAGCCACGGCUAACUACGUG
This 497-nucleotide ribosomal RNA is filed under the name uncultured bacterium. RNAcentral describes it as "partial 16S ribosomal RNA". It matches the Rfam family "Bacterial small subunit ribosomal RNA", at positions 28 to 507 of the family's 1533-position model. The record is from RNAcentral.